Molecule: ribosomal RNA, 1445 nt
Filed under: uncultured marine cyanobacterium
Lineage: Bacteria; Bacillati; Cyanobacteriota
Description: bacterial SSU rRNA
Rfam family: Bacterial small subunit ribosomal RNA
Source: RNAcentral
GAGUUUGAUCAUGGCUCAGGAUGAACGCUGGCGGCGUGCUUAACACAUGCAAGUCGAACGAACCUUCGGGUUAGUGGCGGACGGGUGAGUAACGCGUGGGAAUCUGCCCUCAGGAGGGGGAUAACGGUUGGAAACGACCGCUAAUACCCCAUAUGCCGAGAGGUGAAAUGAAUUUCGCCUGAGGAUGAACCCGCGUCUGAUUAGCUUGUUGGUGAGGUAAUGGCUCACCAAGGCAUCGAUCAGUAGCUGGUCUGAGAGGAUGAUCAGCCACACUGGGACUGAGACACGGCCCAGACUCCUACGGGAGGCAGCAGUGGGGAAUUUUCCGCAAUGGGCGAAAGCCUGACGGAGCAACGCCGCGUGAGGGACGAAGGCCUCUGGGCUGUAAACCUCUUUUCUCAAGGAAGAAGAUAUGACGGUACUUGAGGAAUAAGCCACGGCUAAUUCCGUGCCAGCAGCCGCGGUAAUACGGGAGUGGCAAGCGUUAUCCGGAAUUAUUGGGCGUAAAGCGUCCGCAGGCGGCUUUUCAAGUCUGCUGUUAAAACGUGGAGCUUAACUCCAUCAUGGCAGUGGAAACUGAUUGGCUUGAGUAUGGUAGGGGCAGAGGGAAUUCCCGGUGUAGCGGUGAAAUGCGUAGAUAUCGGGAAGAACACCAGUGGCGAAGGCGCUCUGCUGGGCCAUUACUGACGCUCAUGGACGAAAGCCAGGGGAGCGAAAGGGAUUAGAUACCCCUGUAGUCCUGGCCGUAAACGAUGAACACUAGGUGUCGGGGGAAUCGACCCCUUCGGUGUCGUAGCUAACGCGUUAAGUGUUCCGCCUGGGGAGUACGCACGCAAGUGUGAAGCUCAAAGGAAUUGACGGCGGCCCGCACAAGCGGUGGAGUAUGUGGUUUAAUUCGAUGCAACGCGGAGAACCUUACCAGGGUUUGACAUCCUGCGAACCUUUAAGAAAUUAGAGGGUGCCUUCGGGAACGCAGUGACAGGUGGUGCAUGGCUGUCGUCAGCUCGUGUCGUGAGAUGUUGGGUUAAGUCCCGCAACGAGCGCAACCCACGUUUUUAGUUGCCAGCAUUUAGUUGGGCACUCUAGAAAGACCGCCGGUGAUAAACCGGAGGAAGGUGUGGAUGACGUCAAGUCAUCAUGCCCCUUACGUCCUGGGCUACACACGUACUACAAUGCUACGGACAAAGGGCAGCAAACUCGCGAGAGCUAGCAAAUCCCAUAAACCGUGGCUCAGUUCAGAUCGUAGGCUGCAACUCGCCUACGUGAAGUAGGAAUCGCUAGUAAUCGCAGGUCAGCAUACUGCGGUGAAUACGUUCCCGGGCCUUGUACACACCGCCCGUCACACCAUGGAAGUUGGCCACGCCCGAAGUCGUUACUUUAACCCUUGUGGAGAAGGACGCCGAAGGUGGGGCUGAUGACUGGGGUGAAGUCGUAACAAGGUAACC